This 427-nucleotide ribosomal RNA is filed under the name uncultured bacterium. RNAcentral describes it as "partial 16S ribosomal RNA". It matches the Rfam family "Bacterial small subunit ribosomal RNA", at positions 355 to 774 of the family's 1533-position model. The record is from RNAcentral.
UGGGGAAUAUUGCACAAUGGGCGCAAGCCUGAUGCAGCCAUGCCGCGUGUAUGAAGAAGGCCUUCGGGUUGUAAAGUACUUUCAGCGAGGAGGAAGGCGGUAAGGUUAAUAACCUUAUCGAUUGACGUUACUCGCAGAAGAAGCACCGGCUAACUCCGUGCCAGCAGCCGCGGUAAUACGGAGGGUGCAAGCGUUAAUCGGAAUUACUGGGCGUAAAGCGCACGCAGGCGGUCUGUCAAGUCGGAUGUGAAAUCCCCGGGCUCAACCUGGGAACUGCAUUCGAAACUGGCAGGCUAGAGUCUUGUAGAGGGGGGUAGAAUUUCAGGUGUAGCGGUGAAAUGCGUAGAGAUCUGGAGGAAUACCGGUGGCGAAGGCGGCCCCCUGGACAAAGACUGACGCUCAGGUGCGAAAGCGUGGGGAGCAAACA